This 245-nucleotide ribosomal RNA is filed under the name uncultured bacterium. RNAcentral's name for it is "partial 16S ribosomal RNA". It matches the Rfam family "Bacterial small subunit ribosomal RNA", at positions 524 to 768 of the family's 1533-position model. The record is from RNAcentral.
UACGUAGGCAGCGAGCGUUGUUCGGAAUUACUGGGCGUAAAGAGUGUGUAGGCGGUGCUCCAAGUCUGGUGUGAAAUUUCCCGGCUCAACUGGGAGGGUGCGCCGGAAACUGGAGUGCUCGAGUGUGGGAGAGGAAAGCGGAAUUCCUGGUGUAGCGGUGAAAUGCGUAGAUAUCAGGAGGAACACCUGCGGUGUAGACAGCUUUCUGGACCACGACUGACGCUGAGACACGAAAGCGUGGGUAG